AGAGAUGCCUCUUGGGUCCAGCCUCCCAAGGGCACCAAGUAGGGUGAAGGACUCAUCUGAAGGGUCGGACAGAACACCCCGUGUACCCACCGAGCCUUGAUUUCUCCACCUGUAAAGUGGUCAUAGUAAUACCUCCCUCAGAGAGUGGGUGUGAGAAUUUAUUAAGAUCACGUGUGCCUGACACAGAACACACCCUCAUCAAAUGUAACUUUAUUAGGAUGAUGUUAUUACUGUCAAUGUUAUGAUUCUGCCUCUGUCGCUGAAUCAUCACUCGGGUUUGGAGAAAUCUUUCCUCCUCUCUCUCCUCCCGCUCCCCGACCAGGUCAGGUCCGCUGUUACACUGGGGAAUGACACACGUGGCUCUGAUGCAGACCGCUCUGGUUUGUAUCCAAGCACAGCCACACAGCCGUGGAUGCACUGGCUACUUGCUUGCUAUGGCAGCAGAGUUGAGGUUGAGACAGAGACCCUGAGGUCUGCAAACCUAAAACAUCCACUACCUGCCGGUUUCCAGAGCCUGCUGACCUUGAGUUACACCCUCUUGCAGCUCUCCGUGCUUCAGGGUUCUUCCCUUGUGGAAACUAGACAGCUUUCUGUGCUUCCCUGUCCCGUGUCUGCCUUCCCCAGGCCUGGAAUUCCCAAAGCCCCGCAUGUGGGGUGCUUGAUCUCUGGGCUCCCAGCUGGGCCUGUGGGCACCUGGUUCUCCGGCUGCCUGCUGACUCCACACUCCUCCCAGCAAAGUGCUGAGGCCAGCAGACCUCAGUACCCAGGCGCAUCUGCCACUGACUUUCCACAGCUGCGGCUCCAGCCUCGAAGCAGGGUAUUAAGGUUUUCAUGUACCAUCAGAGGGCCCAGAAGUGUCUGGAAGGCUUUAGAUGCACUCAGGGAUCCCGGCUUCCCAGCCUCGGCUUCCAGACAGCAGAGGGGACCUGCGGGGUCCCUUGCAGGCAGGACAAAGGGCAGCUCCAGGGAGGUCUUCCAUGUCUGGCAAUUAGAUGGGGCUGCAUGGCAAGAGCCCGACCAGACCAGGGACAGGAAUGUGCCUCUUGCAGUCCCAAGAAUGGGAGGAACGCAGCCUCCCUCAGCUCCUCAGGAGGGGGCUGGGGCUACAGUCCCAGGCUCUUUCCAGCCAGCAAGCACCCCACACCUGCUGAGGAAAGGCCCCAGGAGAGUCUGUUCACUGGAGGCUUCACAUGCCAGGGGCCGACUGUGAGCCAGGCCCCCUGAGGAGCCUGGAGAAGACCUGCCC
Molecule: long non-coding RNA, 1246 nt
Filed under: Bos mutus (wild yak)
Lineage: Eukaryota; Metazoa; Chordata; Mammalia; Artiodactyla; Bovidae
Description: lncRNA (ENSBMUG00000011980.1)
Source: RNAcentral